Molecule: ribosomal RNA, 793 nt
Filed under: uncultured bacterium
Lineage: Bacteria
Description: bacterial SSU rRNA
Rfam family: Bacterial small subunit ribosomal RNA
Source: RNAcentral
AGAGUUUGAUCAUGGCUCAGAUUGAACGCUGGCGGCAUGCUUUACACAUGCAAGUCGAGCGGCAGCGCGGGGGCAACCCUGGCGGCGAGCGGCGAACGGGUGAGUAAUACAUCGGAACGUGUCCCGUAGUGGGGGAUACCCGGCGAAAGCCGGACUAAUACCGCAUAUGCUCUACGGAGGAAAAGUGGGGGACCCGCAAGGCCUCACGCUAUGGGAGCGGCCGAUGUCCGAUUAGCUUGUUGGUGAGGUAACGGCUUACCAAGGCGACGAUCGGUAGCUGGUCUGAGAGGAUGAUCAGCCACACUGGGACUGAGACACGGCCCAGACUCCUACGGGAGGCAGCAGUGGGGAAUUUUGGACAAUGGGGGCAACCCUGAUCCAGCCAUGCCGCGUGCGGGAAGAAGGCCUUCGGGUUGUAAACCGCUUUUGUCCGGAAAGAAAAGGCCACUCCUAAUACGGGUGGUUCUUGACGGUACCGGAAGAAUAAGCACCGGCUAACUACGUGCCAGCAGCCGCGGUAAUACGUAGGGUGCGAGCGUUAAUCGGAAUUACUGGGCGUAAAGCGUGCGCAGGCGGUUCGUGAUGUCUGAUGUGAAAGCCCCGGGCUUAACCUGGGAAUUGCAUUGGAAACUAGCGGGCUGGAGUGUGGCAGAGGGGGGUGGAAUUCCCGUGUAGCAGUGAAAUGCGUAGAGAUGUGGAGGAACACCGAUGGCGAAGGCAGCCCCCUGGGCUAACACUGACGCUCAUGCACGAAAGCGUGGGGAGCAAACAGGAUUAGAUACCCUAGUAGUCC